Oncorhynchus tshawytscha (Chinook salmon) is the source of this 2094-nucleotide long non-coding RNA. Lineage: Eukaryota; Metazoa; Chordata; Actinopteri; Salmoniformes; Salmonidae. The record is from Ensembl.
AGUGCAAAUCAACAUCCGGUAGAAAACCACGCUAUGGCAGACAGAAGAAAUGUAAAUAUUUGAGCCCUGGCUGCCAGUCCCGUCUACUGUGGCUGCUGAUGGCAUUCGCAGCCAACCUUAACAGCAUUUACAGUCGUUCUCUCAUUGAAAACAAUGACAUCCAAUUUGCCGUCUAUCGUUUUCCUCGUGCAAUCUAAACUCAGAGACCUGAGCCCUUGGACCAUGCCUCAGGACUAUCUGACAUGAUGACUACUUGCUGUCCCCAGUCCACCUGGCCGUGCUGCUGCUCCAGUUUCAACUGUUCUGCCUUAUUAUUAUUAUUGGACCAUGCUGGUCAUUUAUGAACAUUUGAACAUCUUGGCCAUGUUCAGUUAUAAUCUCCACCCGGCACAGCCAGAAGAGGACUGGCCACCCCACAUAGCCUGGUUCAUCUCUAGGUUUCUUCCUAGGUUUUGGCCUUUCUAGGGAGUUUUUCCUAGCCACCGUGCUUCUACACCUGCAUUGCUUGCUGUUUGGGGUUUUAGGCUGGGUUUCUGUACAGCACUUUGAGAUAUCAGCUGAUGUACGAAGGGCUAUAUAAAUACAUUUGAUUUGAUUUUAUCUAAUGAGUUUUUAUUUGUUUUGGUGGAUAGGUCUGGUCCCUAGUGGGCUUGUGAUAACAGCACUAUAUUGCCGGUGUCUAUGAGAUGAGUCAUCAACAGGACCUGGGCAUUCUCCUCGUCUAACUCUCUCACACUUCUACAGUUGUGCCCUCUUAAUUAUAUCACUCUGUUUUCACAGAGAAUUGUCCUGUGCCGCAGGGAAUGCAAACUUGUAGAGUAUUCGCCAUCUCACUCUGUCCACCUCUGUCUGUCUCCAUCCCUUUCUCUUUGAUUCUUUACCCUCCUUCACCAGGUCUCUCUCAGGCCAGCUGGCAGAGGAACAUAAAGAGGAGUAGCUUUAGGAGGAGAGAGACCUUGCUGAGGCCAGCUGAGGAGGAGGAGGUGGGUGGGUUUGUCUUGGCUCUAUACAUCUGCCUUGUAACAGAGAGCUUUACAGUUUCCUGUCCACUUUUAAUCCCCCUUUAUUGUUAUGCGGAGCUACUGUAAGUGGGAAGUUCCCUUGGAGCGAUAAUCUAAUCAAAGUGCUCAGUGUUUUAGUAGUCCGAUUUUUGACAUAGCCUUGAGCUGUUGAUGACCAGCUGGCAAAUGUUAACAACACACAGAUAUGAUCUUUAAUAUAUCUGGUCUUGAUUAUCUUUCCACAGCUCAACACAAGAACACGUAAACAUGUUGUUAACAUGACUCACCUCUCUAAAUAGGGUGGACCGGUCACACUUUCUGACACUAUACAUACAAUAAUUAAAAUGGGCUCUUUUUAUAGAAAUAGAGCAGGCCUUUCGUUAAAUAGCAGAAAACAAAUCAUUCAGUCGACAUUCAUUCCCGGCUUUAGGCUGUGGCAAUAUCGUCUAUAUGGAUGCGGCUGCAUAUAUAUCCAUCCAUAUAUUGAAGACAUUGGACACCGUUUAUCAUAGCACACUACACUUUAUUACGGGCGAUUGGUUCAGUACACAUCAUUGCAUUCUGUAUCAGAAAGUAGGCUGGCCCUGUCUUAAGUUUUGUAGAUCAAUGCACCAGCUCUCUUUUCGUUUAUUAAGCACACCUGUGCAAACAUCUGCCAUACCUUACUUACUUCAUUGUUAAAUUGCAGAAAUACUCUCGAGGUUCUGUUGAUCUCUAUGGAAUUAGGUAAAUCUGCAUUGAGUUUUUUGUGCCCCCUGUAUGGAAUGAUCUGCAGAGCUCUCUGCACCUUGACGCUCUGGUGUGUCUAUUGCAGUUCAACUUAAUGGAGGACCUCAUUGUUGAGAAAUGUUUCUACUUCUUAAAUUGCUUGUAGUAUUGUAUGUUUGAAUGUUGUACAUUUUAUAAAUUGCUGUACUCCCUUGGGAAAGAGGCCUUGGUCUCAAUGUGACUCCCUGCUAAAAUGAAGGUUAAAUAAAAGGAUGCAUGUCUGUGAUGAACUGACAUACAUUAUAGAUGUGAGCAGUUUGUGCGGGAGGGGAACGGGGAGGUGUUCAAUAACAUUCCAAAUGAUGUUAAUCAAGUUAUAGUGUGC